AAGAGCUCGUAGGCGGUUUGUCGCGUCUGCUGUGAAAGCCCGGGGCUCAACCCCGGGUCUGCAGUGGGUACGGGCAGACUAGAGUGCAGUAGGGGAGACUGGAAUUCCUGGUGUAGCGGUGAAAUGCGCAGAUAUCAGGAGGAACACCGAUGGCGAAGGCAGGUCUCUGGGCUGUUACUGACGCUGAGGAGCGAAAGCAUGGGGAGCGAACAGGAUUAGAUACCCUGGUAGUCCAUGCCGUAAACGUUGGGCACUAGGUGUGGGGGACAUUCCACGUUUUCCGCGCCGUAGCUAACGCAUUAAGUGCCCCGCCUGGGGAGUACGGCCGCAAGGCUAAAACUCAAAGGAAUUGACGGGGGCCCGCACAAGCGGCGGAGCAUGCGGAUUAAUUCGAUGCAACGCGAAGAACCUUACCAAGGCUUGACAUUCACCGGACCGCCCCAGAGAUGGGGUUUCCCUUCGGGGCUGGUGGACAGGUGGUGCAUGGUUGUCGUCAGCUCGUGUCGUGAGAUGUUGGGUUAAGUCCCGCAACGAGCGCAACCCUCGUUCUAUGUUGCCAGCACGUGAUGGUGGGGACUCAUAGGAGACUGCCGGGGUCAACUCGGAGGAAGGUGGGGAUGACGUCAAAUCAUCAUGCCCCUUAUGUCUUGGGCUUCACGCAUGCUACAAUGGCCGGUACAAAGGGUUGCGAUACUGUGAGGUGGAGCUAAUCCCAAAAAGCCGGUCUCAGUUCGGAUUGAGGUCUGCAACUCGACCUCAUGAAGUCGGAGUCGCUAGUAAUCGCAGAUCAGCAACGCUGCGGUGAAUACGUUCCCGGGCCUUGUACACACCGCCCGUCAAGUCACGAAAGUUGGUAACACCCGAAGCCGGUGGCCUAACCCCUUGUGG
RNAcentral lists this ribosomal RNA (888 nucleotides) under Kocuria sp. WLSH-46. RNAcentral's name for it is "bacterial SSU rRNA". It matches the Rfam family "Bacterial small subunit ribosomal RNA", at positions 563 to 1446 of the family's 1533-position model. Lineage: Bacteria; Bacillati; Actinomycetota; Actinomycetes; Micrococcales; Micrococcaceae. The record is from RNAcentral.